CAUGCGCCUGGAGUACAUCACACAUUAUUUGGUUAUAUUAUUGCUACACGUUAACAUAAUGAAAUAAAUUCUUAUUUUGUUACCCCUAAUAAUUUUACCUCUUGAUCUUCACCUAAUGAAAAAUUGGAGUAUGUUCCAUACAGUAAUGGUUCUGAUGAUAGCUUUACUGCAGCAUGCAGUUCUUUAAGAUGACCCCAUGUAGGUUGCCAUAUUAGACCUUUCAAAUAAUAUAACUAAAUAUAAUUAAUCAUUGUACAUGGUAGAAUGGUGUAAAUGCAUUUAGAUUUUCUAUCUUAUGCAUAAAUAUUUACCAUACUCAUCAAGAGGUGCUCCAUCGUAGUAGCUUGUUGUGACAUAUGAAGAGGCAAACCUCCCGAAGUUUGUUCCUCCAUGGUACUGCAUCAUAAUCAUUAAUCAGCACAAAAUUAUUAAGAGGUUGUCCAUUCAAAACAAAAUAUUACUAAGAGUUUGAACUAGGUUUUUUUUUAAGAUUUGCCCCUAAAGUCCAUACCAUGUAGUAGCUCACAAAGCUUCCUCCCUUCCUUGCUAUAAAAAGUGCAACUGCAAAGGUAAUAUCUCCUGUAGAUCUCAGUUUUGUAUCAUUACCAUAUAUAGGAUAGCUGGACACAGAACAAUUCCAUUAGGCCUUGCGUUUUCACCUGAAUUAGAAGAUGCAAGACCAAAUGAGCAGAAAUUUCAUUCAACAUACCGAGUUGUCCAAUUUUCUGUCCACAAUGCAGGCUUGUUGGGUGAGUUUGGUCCUACAAAUGUUUCUCCGCAGAUGAGCCCGUUGCAGGUAUUAAUCUGUACACGAGCUUUUGUCAGCUGAUUUAGUUUUUCAGCUUAAGAUGUAUAAUCAAGGGAAAUGGUAAGUUAUGAAUACUGACAAUUGGAUCUGGAGCGUCAUUCUGCUUACACAUCAUCCAUGGAACACCUGUUUGGAGACCUACAGCCAAUGAAGCUGCCCAUUGGACAUAACGUGGGCCACCUGGGCCAAAUGCUGGCUCAACCAUUUGGCAAAGGUAGAAAAUAACACGAAGAAGACAGGAGCAACAAGCACAGAGCAAGAUUACUGAAGGCAAGGCGUAAAGUCGAUGGCCUACAGUCAGCACAGAGAGUUGAAGAUCUCCAGUGCCACCUGCUCCAUCAACUUUGCACCAUGCUUCAGAAGCGUCUUGCUUGGUUCUUUUGUCCGCAGAAUCACGCAAUCACGCAGCAGGGAAACAAUAUGACAUACUACAGUAAAUGAGGGUUACCCAGCCUCUUAUGCUGGAAGCAAGCAUGCUUGUGCCUUUUCCAGAUCGUCCAAGGUAUGUCUGCAACCCCACUGAGAUCAAUUUCUAAUUUUCUACUGUAGUUCCAUCAGCAUAAGACGGUAACCAACAUCCAAAGAGCCCAGUCACUCCGCUAGGCGUUGUGGCCAUACCAAAAGCACAUCUAGCCACACCCAACACAUAUCUUGCGAGAGUACAGCAGAAAAAUAAGUGAUCAAUCGACUCAUACAUCGAACAGAACUGAUAGCAAACUGCCCCUUUCCAUCCACGGUGAGUAAGACUGUCUUUUGUCAGGAUACGUCUCUGAAUCCUUCUCCAUGAGAAUGAUAGUCAUGGAUUAUUUGUAAUUAUGCGGGACAUCGUAUUUCUGGGUAUUUUAAUUUUCCAUCUGACAAUAUUUCAGGAAUGAAAACUGCAUAAAUGUAUAAUUGAAUUUUGUUUUUGGGGAAAGCAUGCAUGUUUAAUUGGAUACGCAAGGAGCAGUGUUGGGCCAUGUUUCUGUAGACCAGAAUGCUGGGUAUGCAAGUCGGACGUUAGGCAGAGCUGAGAAGCGUGCCGUCAAGAAUAGAAGCCCAUGAAAGUUAAGUUUUGUAACUUCAAAUUGGGAUGGCCUUUGUGGUGUAAGUACCGUUUUUUAAGUGCCAUUGAAACCAACCCAUGUUUAAAAAAGGGGAAAUUUGCCGGAGAACACAGUUAUUUUG
This is a long non-coding RNA of Brachypodium distachyon (stiff brome), 1975 nucleotides long. RefSeq lists it as uncharacterized. The record is from RefSeq and is a predicted model, not a curated record. NCBI's taxonomy places the organism in Eukaryota, Viridiplantae, Streptophyta, Magnoliopsida, Poales, Poaceae. The transcript has 2 exons.